UACAGAGAGUGCAAGCGUUAAUCGGAAUUACUGGGCGUAAAGCGCACGUAGGUGGAUGUUUAAGUCGGAUGUGAAAUCCCUGAGCUUAACUUAGGAAUUGCAUUCGAUACUGGGCGUCUAGAGUAUAGUAGAGGGAAGUGGAAUUUCCGGUGUAGCGGUGAAAUGCGUAGAUAUCGGAAGGAACAUCAGUGGCGAAAGCGGCUUCCUGGACUAAUACUGACACUUAGGUGCGAAAGCGUGGGGAGCAAACAGG
Molecule: ribosomal RNA, 253 nt
Filed under: uncultured bacterium
Lineage: Bacteria
Description: partial 16S ribosomal RNA
Rfam family: Bacterial small subunit ribosomal RNA
Source: RNAcentral